UCGUCCUCUAUCUCUAUCUCUAUCUGAGUUUCAAAAGAUGAUGCCUUGAACCUGUUCGAUGAAAUGAUAAAGAGACAACUCCUGCAAUCUGUUGUUCAGUUUACUGAGCUGUUGAAUGCUUUAUCCAAAAUGAACCAUUUUUCUUCUUGCAUCAAUCUUAUCAAACAGAUGUCUUUAUAUAUUCCACAAUGAUUAAAGGGUUUCUGAUAGGUUAGGUUUAGAAGGUGCUUGGGUCGUCAUCUUCUCUCGUCCACAGGCUAUUCUACGAUUUCUGAUCGAUUUGUUUACUUUUUUUCUGCAAUAAUCGGGUGUGAAAGCACUAAUUGAUGCUCAAUUAUUUGUUUCUGGUUAUAAAACACAAGUUAGGGUUUCGUGUUGUACUGUAGUUUCUGUAUUUGAAGGUGAAUUUGUGAUGAUCCUUUGUUUGAUUGGUUAUAUGAUAAACAUGAAUUUUGGUUGCGUUUUCUAUUGGAAUUUCUAUUUCUGAACAGAGAUUUGUUUAUUUAUUUUUGUAAUAAUCUUGUGUGAAAACAGUAAUUGAUGCUCAAUUGUUUGUUUCUGGUUUAAUAACACAAGCUAGGAUUACAUGUUAAGUGGUAACUGUAGUUUCUGUUUUUGAAGGUGAGUUGAACAUAAAUUUGCAAUGAUUCUUUGUUUUACCUGUUUAUAUUAGUUGAAAUGAAGCUCAAUUGCUUGUUUUUUUUAAUCAGAAAACUUAAAUUUAGGCUACAUGUUCUACUUGAAUUGAUGUUUCUGAACGUGAUUAUCAUAUGUUUCUUAUGUGUUCUACAGAAGUUUUGGGUUGCUGAAUGUUAGUUGGACGUGAUUAUGCUAUGAUUCUUCGUUUGCUUGUUUAUACGAAUUGAAAUGAAGCUCAAUUGUUUGUUUCUGUUCCGAAAACACAAAUUUAAGGUUACGUGUUUUACUAAAAUUCCUGUUUCUGAAUGUGAAUAGGGCGUGAUUAUGAUGUGAUUCUUUGUUUGUUUGUUUAUAUGAACUAAAAUGAAGCUCAACUGUUUGUUUCUGAUCGGAAUACACAAAUUUACGAUUACAUCUUCUAGUGAAAUUUCUGUUUCUAAUCGUGAUAGAUGUAAUUCUGAUUUAUGAUUCUUUGCCGGCUUGUUUAUACGAAUUGAAAUGAAGCUCAAUUGUUUGUUUGAACACACAUAUUUAAGGUUACGUGUUCAACUUAAAUUAUUGUUAACGAACGUGAAUCGAGCAUAAUGAUGAUCUGUUUCUUAUGUGUUCUACUGAACUUUCUGUUUCUGAACAUGAAUCGAAUGUGGUUUUUCUAUUUGGAAUCGUGUUAGGUCUAAUUCCUAUUACUUUGGCUGGAUUAUUUGUAACUGCAUAUGUACAAAUUUAGACCUGGCAAACAGGUCGGGUCGGGUCGGGUCAUGGGUCAAAAUGGGUUCGUGUCGAAACGGGUUCGGGUCAAAACGGGUUCGGGUCGGAACGGGUUUCGGGUCGGGUUGGGUAAAAAAUGUUUUUUUUAAGUGACUGUACAUCAAGGGGAAAUUUUGUCGGGUUUCGACACGAACCGUAUCGUUUCAGAUUUUCGAUUUGAACAGGUGAUUGACGGUUAACGUUGUGAUAAUUUUGAACAGAUUUGAUAGGUGUUUGAUGAGAUUUGUUUUGAUUUGAUGCACAAGUGAUAACAACUAUAACAGUUAACAGAAAACAAAAUCAGUUGAAGUGAUCAUAUUGUUCAGUGAUUUGUCAAACAGUUACUACAAAAGUUCUGUUUGAAUUAUGUUAAAAGAUUUGAGUUUCGGAUUGAUUCAGACGAAUUUUUGAUUGAUUUCGAACUGAUCCUGUUGAUUUAGUUCUGAUUACAGUUUGUUUCGGAUCAUUUCGAAGUUAUACAAAUUGUUUUUGUGAUUGAUUUUCGGUCAAGUUUCGAUUGCAGUUUAAAGUGUUGAUUGAAAAUUUUGGAUUAACCCGAUCAAUUUCAGUUGAUUUCUGAUAGAAUCAGUGUUUUUUAGUUUGAUUGUUCAAGAUCUGAGAUAUUCCAAAUCAUUCUCAUAAUUGAAAUUUGAUCAUUGUAGAACUGAUCUGUAUAGGAACCCGAAUCAGUCGAAAUUUAUGUUGAUUAUAGAGAUUUCAGAAUUGUUAUCGAUCAGAUUUGUUGAUUUAGUUCGUAGAAGUUGAUUGUGAAUCAGCUUUGUUGAAUUGAAAUAGAAAUCUGAGUUGCAGAAUUUGAAGUUAAACGUUCAGGUCGUGUAGUGUUUUGUUGCUGAAGGUAGAAAUCGAACAAUAUGAGCUGGGCUGGGAUGUGAAACUUAGUGUUAAUUAAUAAAACGAUACGGUUCGCGUCGAAACGGUACUGGUCGAAACGGUUCGCGUCGAAACGGUUCGCGUUGAAACGGUUCGCGUCGAAACGGUACGCGUCGAAACGGUACGCGUCGAAACCGUUCGCGUCGAAACGGUACGCGUCGAAACGGUACGUGUCGAAACGGUACGCGUCGAAACGGUACGGGUCGAAACGGUUCGGGUCGAAACGGUUCGGGUCGAAACGGUUCGCGUAAACGGUACGCGUUGAAACGGUACGGGUCGAAACGGUUCGCGUCGAAACGGUUCACGUCGAAACGGUUCGCUUUGACCCGAACCUGCCCCGUUUCUUUAAGACACUAACCCACAUUAACCCAUUUCUUUAAUGUUGUUGACCCGCUUUGACCCGAAAAUAACAAGAUGGAAUUUCAAGUGACCCAUUGUGACCCAUUUAGGUAAAAUAUCUUACCCAAACCAACCCAUAUAAUUUUAAAAGCAACCCAAACUGACCCAUUUGGAAGGUUUUGGGUCAAGAUUGCCUCCUCUAUGUACAAUACAGCGUGGCAAUCAGUUGGGCCUUUGAUUAAUUAACAUCUCUUUUUUAAUUGUCCUCCUCCUUUCUUUAAUAUCCAGGUGGUCAAAUUAAGAUAGCUGUUCUGAUUCUUUGUUUUCUUGUUUAUAUUAAUUUCUGUUUGUUAUUGAAUGGUCAACUGUGAUACAUUUCAUUGUUUGCUUGUUUAUAUAGCUCAGUUGUGUGUUUCUGAUCUGGAAACACAAAUUUAGGUUACGUGUUCUCUAAUUUUUUUUUGUUUAUUAACGUGAACCAAAUGCAAUUUUUAUCUGUUUCUUUGUUUGGUUGUUUAUACGAAUUGAUGUUGAAGAUGGAACUAUUUUGUUGCAGAAAAUGUUGAUAUUUUUGUACAUAUUUCGUAGAAAUUUAUAAAUAAUCAAUGCUUUAACAAUAAUUUUUCUUUCUACUAAAAGUGUGUUUAAAACUCUGUUAUAAAACUUUUGGAUUUCCCGUCAUCAGUGUGUUAAAAUUUGUUAAUAAUCAUAACACGAGAACCAAUUGUGAUUAUAGUAGCAUCUACAUCUGUGUGUAAUUUGUUAAAUCCAUAGAUUUAAUACAACUCGUGUAACACACGGGUACUUAGACUAGUUAAUCUAAUAAGAAGAUAAAUAAGAUGUCAUGUCUUUUUUUUCUUAAAUCUGCUAGAAAAUGUCUGGACAGGUCAUUUGCUGUCACAUCACUUCUAUGAUGUAAUAUGGGUAAAACGAUAAUAAAAUUAACGCUUAAUUAAUGGAUGGUUGCUAA
This 3586-nucleotide long non-coding RNA is filed under the name Helianthus annuus (common sunflower). RNAcentral's name for it is "hypothetical non coding rna". Lineage: Eukaryota; Viridiplantae; Streptophyta; Magnoliopsida; Asterales; Asteraceae. The record is from RNAcentral.